RNAcentral lists this ribosomal RNA (1429 nucleotides) under uncultured Bordetella sp. RNAcentral describes it as "partial 16S-23S ribosomal RNA intergenic spacer". It matches the Rfam family "Bacterial small subunit ribosomal RNA". The record is from RNAcentral. Lineage: Bacteria; Pseudomonadati; Pseudomonadota; Betaproteobacteria; Burkholderiales; Alcaligenaceae.
AGUCGAACGGCAGCACGGACUUCGGUCUGGUGGCGAGUGGCGAACGGGUGAGAAUGUAUCGGAACGUGCCUAGUAGCGGGGGAUAACUACGCGAAAGCGUAGCUAAUGUGCACACGCCCUCGGGGGAAAGCGGGGACCUUCGGGCCUCGCACUAUUAGAGCGGCCGAUAUCGGAUUAGCUAGUUGGUGGGGUAACGGCUCACCAAGGCGACGAUCCGUAGCUGGUUUGAGAGGACGACCAGCCACACUGGGACUGAGACACGGCCCAGACUCCUACGGAGGCAGCAGUGGGGAAUUUUGACAAUGGGGAAACCCUGAUCCAGCCAUCCCGCGUGUGCGAUGAAGGCCUUCGGGUUGUAAAGCACUUUUGGCAGGAAAGAAACGGCAUGGAUAAUACCCCGUGCAACUGACGGUACCUGCAGAAUAAGCACUGGCUAACUACGUGCCAGCAGCCGCGGUAAUACGUAGGGUGCAAGCGUUAAUCGGAAUUACUGGGCGUAAAGCGUGCGCAGGCGGUUCGGAAAGAAAGAUGUGAAAUCCCAGAGCUUAACUUUGGAACUGCAUUUUAACUACCGAGCUAGAGUGUGUCAGAGGGAGGUGGAAUUCCGCGUGUAGCAGUGAAAUGCGUAGAUAUGCGGAGGAACACCGAUGGCGAAGGCAGCCUCCUGGGAUAACACUGACGCUCAUGCACGAAAGCGUGGGGAGCAAACAGGAUUAGAUACCCUGGUAGUCCACGCCCUAAACGACGUCAACUAGCUGUUGGGGCCUUCGGGCCUUGGUAGCGCAGCUAACGCGUGAAGUUGACCGCCUGGGGAGUACGGUCGCAAGAUUAAAAACUCAAAGGACUGACAGAAUCUGCACAGCGGUGGAUGAUGUGGGAUUAAUUCGAUGCAACGCGAAAACCUUACCUACCCUUGACAUGUCUGGAAUCCUGAAGAGAUUUGGGAGUGCUCGCAAGAGAACCGGAACACAGGUGCUGCAUGGCUGUCGUCAGCUCGUGUCGUGAGAUGUUGGGUUAAGUCCCGCAACGAGCGCAACCCUUGUCAUUAUUAAGGCUGAAAGGGCACUCUAAUGAGACUGCCGGUGACAAACCGAGGAAGGUGGGGAUGACGUCAACAAGUCCUCAUGGCUCCUUAUGGGUAGGGCUUCACACGUCAUACAAUGGUCGGGACAGAGGGUCGCCAACCCGCGAGGGGGAGCCAAUCCCAGAAACCCGAUCGUAGUCCGGAUCGCAGUCUGCAACUCGACUGCGUGAAGUCGGAAUCGCUAGUAAUCGCGGAUCAGCAUGUCGCGGUGAAUACGUUCCCGGUCUUGCAUGCACACCGCCCGUCACACCAUGGGAGUGGGUUUUACCAGAAGUAGUUAGCCUAACCGUAAGGAGGGCGAUUACCACGGUAGGAUUCAUACCAGGUGAAGUCGUAACAAGGUAA